CAUCUUAAGUUUCACAGCAUCCAAAAAAUGAAACUUGACAGUUGUUACAACAAAAUUUCUAAAUCUGCCAUCAAUCUGUCUACAAACAAUCACCAGUGUACAGUCUUAAAAGAACUACACUGGCUAGAUAUCCCACAAUAUCUUACCUACUCACAGCUACGUAUUGCCCAUAACUUAAUAUCUAAAAAAAAAGUCCAGCGCUAGGAAAUGCCAUAAAAUAUUCUCUACCUCGGGAAUUAUGCUGUCAAAAUGAAUCGCUUUUACUCACCACCAAAUGUAAUAAUACUGUUGAUGAAUCGCUCUACUCCUGCCAUGCCUCCAAACUCUGGCAUUCCCAAUCACCACACGUAAAGCAAAUUGAAAAAGAAAAGUUUUCAAAAAUCAGCUUAAACAAUACCAAAAUAACUCCUGGCUAUGCAUCUUCUUCUCAACCCUUUAACUAAAAACCAGAAACUACUGUUUAACUUACUAUUUCAAUCCAUAAUUUUAUCCCUCCCCAAAUUCACUCUGUUUCAAAAUACAAGUUUCUUCAAUAACAUUUCUCACUGUUAAAAGUUGAUCUAUGUACUAAUUAACUGUUAUACCUCUCUCACGCUCAUUUAACUAUAUAUAUAUAUAGAUAUAUAUAUAUAUAUAUAUAUAUAUAUAUAUGUGUGUGCAGUACUUUCUCUUUCUUUUCACUUUAUCUUGAUCUCUGGCAUCAAGUCAAAGUACCCAGUUUUAUAAUGCACAAAUAUCUGCUAGUAUAUUGUAAUGCAACUUAUGUUUAUCUAAUGUAUAUCAAUGUACGUUCAUUACAAUAUUUCAGGAUUUGAAUUAUGUUCAUGUACUUUAUUGAUAGUUUUUGUUUAAUCUUAUGUCUCUGUACUGCAAUUGUUAUCCCAUGUGAUUUGUUUUAAUGUAUGGCAUUGUAUAUUUUUUGUCUUUUCUCCCUUGGCCUCUGCUGAAACUUUUUUUUUUUUUUUUUUUUUUUUCAGAAUGACUUCCUGGUUAACACAAGGAAAUUAAAUAAAUAUAAAAACACAAACUAGAUUUUCUUGAGUUAAUUUCUGGCAGAUACACAGACAUUAUUCCAUCCUACAGUCACAAGAAAGGGUCAUUUCAGAAGUCUGGAAAAAAACUUGAGGCCUACGGACGAUCAAGGAGCUUGAUGCCUCAGAUCUCAUCUUGGAACUUGUGUGCCCACUUAAUCAUUCAAUUCCAUCUUGAAGGGACUUCCAUGGAGAACGACCCAAUAGGGAACGGCAAAUCAAACCUAGCAAGAUGUCAAUUUCCACAGUCAACCCAAGGAGAACCUCCCAGAUUAUUUUCCAGACCAAAAUAAGAUGGUUCUCUCAUGCCUGGAUUGGGCACCAGAAUAGCUGCAGAGGAUGUGGCUAACCCCAGAGACCAUGGUGGCUGAAGAGGCUACAACAGAGGAACCCAGAACAAUAAAAUAAGUGGUCUUUGGAAAAAUGGUUGUACACUACAGAGUCACCCACCAAUGGCUCAGGCAAUGUCUGAGCACACAGUGGCGGCAAGGGAUCCUUAUUGUAUUGCUUCUUCUUUUUACAUUCAGGGAGAAAAGAACCAGCAGGACUGGAAUACAUAUCUAUGCUGUCACUGGGAAAGAAGACUGUUUAUCAGUUAGUGCUGCUGGAAACAGUUCAUCAGAAGUAAAUUGUUAAACAAAGUUCACAAGCAGUACACAGAAAUCCUUGAGAGAAUUCAUACUCCCUUUUUUGAAGUGAUGUAAACAACUGAAGGCAUGUUGUCAUGAAGUCUACACAAGCAUUCAAAAAAAAAAAAUUUUCUGCUCUGUAAAACACUUCCUGAUCCUUAAAACUUAUGUAUACAAAUAAAAGAUCUCAAAAGUAGUACAUUUUUACCACAAAAUAGCCCCAAUUACUUAAAAAUAAGUUUUGUUCUAAAAUGUGGUCCCUUCAGAUACUGUAAAAAAAAAUCCAGGUUUUCUUAAAGGGAAAAUACUGCUUUCAGUCAGCAAAUAAAAUGUGUAAUGUAUGCUCAUAGGUAAAAACUAAGCUAACUGCCUCAAAGGGCCAUUUUAAACCUAGCCAACAGCACAGGUCAGAAUCAAACCCUGUGCUUUGUGUUUAUGAGGGAAAGACCUUAACCAUAACACCAAACCCACCUUUUUAAAAGAGCAAUCAUUUUGGUGUGGAAGAGUUCCCCUAUGAGGAGUUACCUGCCAGAAACGAAGCUUUAACGGACAAGAUAGCUUAUAUAUUUUACAAAAAAAGUAGUAUAAAGUUCUGUGUACUUACUAAUUUUUUUAUUACAUGUUAUUGGAGUACAUGGGUUGGAAACUUUAAACUUGGAAGCAACCUAACCUUAAAGCUCGUUAAAAGAGUUUCAGAUUCAACUCACUGUAAUACAAACAGUCUAACACAGCUGGUUUUACUGCACAUAUUCAGAGAGAAUACAGUGCUUAAAUCUCACACAUAUAUAAGUUUUUAAUCUCACAGUUUGCAAAAUGUCAUCACAAUACAGAUCACUAGGGAGAUAAAGCAGAUCGUGCUUAUACUAGGGUACUUAAAAAUAAAGCAAGAUCCUUAAAAUGUUAUAGCAAGUCAGAUUCAGUUUGCACUUCGCACUAAAAUGAAAAUGUUUUUAAAAACUGUAUUUUAAUUUUUGAUGCCGUUUACAGUUGACUACAGUUUUCAAUACACUUCUAAUCCUACAGCAGACUUGACUGAAGUGUGAACAGUUGAUAGUCAUUGCUCUGGGUUACCCUAGUAGUCCUUAACAGAAAUGAAAAUGAACAGAAUUCCUAUAAUUCUUCUUUUCAGGUACUUCAAAAUAAAUUCUCAAAAACAGCAUUUCUGCAACAGUUUAUAAAACAUAAGCCUUAAUUAUAUGCUUACAUCACAAAAUGUAUCAAGCAUUUAUAAUGUUUUUUUCUAAAUACUUGAGUACCUCACAGCAGUAUGCAAGUUUGUAUUUGUGAGUAAUACUUCCUUCAAUUUCAGUCUUUACUUUAGUAUGAGCACUAAUCAUUUCCUAUCUCCCAAUUUAUAAAUAAAUUGUUUUCCUUAUUAAUUUGCAGUCUCCUGGUAUGGUAACACCAGUUUUGUUCAUUAUACUGGUAGAGCUCAUCUGUAUGACAAGAUACUGUGCACAGUAUUAAUUUUUUAUUGAGGUACCUGAGACAGCAAGCCUCUUAUGUGAACAAAUAAUUUGCAUAUUUAUGUCCAUCUUAAUACAUUGUUAUAAUGUACAGCAUGAGUAAUCACAAUGCUUCAAGAAAGAUGUCAUUAAAAAUACAUGGCUGUAUACAUGGAGAUUCAUUUGAGAUAUAAUCAUUUCAGUUUCAUGUAAGAAAAUAAUGUCUGCACACUUGACAAAUAAAACAACUCAUGUACCUUUAACUGUG
This is a long non-coding RNA of Protopterus annectens (West African lungfish), 3373 nucleotides long. RefSeq lists it as uncharacterized. NCBI's taxonomy places the organism in Eukaryota, Metazoa, Chordata, Ceratodontiformes, Protopteridae. The transcript has 2 exons. The record is from RefSeq and is a predicted model, not a curated record.